GAUCAUGGCUCAGGAUGAACGCUAGCGACAGGCUUAACACAUGCAAGUCGAGGGGGUAGCAUGAUUUGUAGCAAUACAGAUUGAUGGCGACCGGCGCACGGGUGAGUAACGCGUAUGCAACUUACCUAUCAGAGGGGGAUAGCCCGGCGAAAGUCGGAUUAAUACCCCAUAAAACAGGGGUCCCGCAUGGGAAUAUUUGUUAAAGAUUCAUCGCUGAUAGAUAGGCAUGCGGUU
Molecule: ribosomal RNA, 234 nt
Filed under: uncultured bacterium
Lineage: Bacteria
Description: partial 16S ribosomal RNA
Rfam family: Bacterial small subunit ribosomal RNA
Source: RNAcentral